Molecule: long non-coding RNA, 444 nt
Filed under: Fukomys damarensis (Damara mole-rat)
Lineage: Eukaryota; Metazoa; Chordata; Mammalia; Rodentia; Bathyergidae
Description: lncRNA (ENSFDAG00000022109.1)
Source: RNAcentral
CACAUAUCCUGAAAUUUUGAUUUGUUACUUUAAAAACUAAAGUAUAUUUGAUAUUUUAAAAAAUAAUUAUAUUACCUUUUAAAAUUAUUUCCAAAAAGGAAAUAAAUUCAGAUUAAAAUGCUGAUAAUCCAUUCUUUUAAAUCUAUGAGGACAUGAACACACAGAUCCAGCAGCCAAGGACUGUACCAGGAGAAAAGAAUAGUAGAUUUCUUGAAUGAACCAUGCUAUCAACAUCCACCAGAGAGCAGAGCAGCUCCAACACCCACAUCCUUCACAGUAGAAAUAGGAGACCGUAACAGCCAGAUCCUUGGCCAAACAACGUGGAUUGCAGUUCAUUUCAAAGUGCAAAUUGAAGGACUCGGAUGAGAUUGAAGGGACACUGAAAUUUUUCUAAUUAAAAAGGUACUUUUAACUUUUUUCAAAAUCGUAUGUUUGUAUUUGGGG